UUGUAAUUUGUAGAAGGUGCUUCGGGUGCGACCGCGAUCCAAGUCCCUUGGAACAGGGCGUCCCAGAGGGUGAGAAUCCCGUCUGCGGUCGAUGGUCAAACCCGUGUGAAGCCCUUUCGACGAGUCGAGUUGUUUGGGAAUGCAGCUCCAAAUGGGUGGUAAAUUUCAUCUAAAGCUAAAUAUCUGCCGAAGACCGAUAGCGCACAASUAGAGUGAUCGAAAGAUGAAAAGAACUUUGAAAAGAGAGUUAAACAGUACGUGAAAUUGUUAAAAGGGAAGCGUUUGCAACCAGACUCGUUCGCGGGUGUUCANCCGUCCCCCGGGGCGGUGCAUUCUCUCGUGAUCGGGCCAGCAUCSGUUCCGGCGGCCGGACAAAAGCUUUGGGAACGUAGCUCCUUCCGGGGAGCGUUAUAGCCCGGGGUAUAAUGCGGCCAGCCGGGACCGAGGAUCGCGCAUCCGCCAGGAUGCUGGCGUAAUGGUUGCCAGCGACCCGUCUUGAAACACGGACCAAGGAGUCGACCAACCGCGCGAGUGUUUGGGCGUUAAACCCAUGCGCGCAAUGAAAGUGACGUAGGUGGGAGCCUUCGGGUGCACCAUCGACCGAUCCUGAUGUCUUCGGAUGGAUUUGAGUACGAGCCCGGCUGGUCGGACCCGAAAGAUGGUGAACUAUGCGUGAAUAGGGUGAAGCCAGAGGAAACUCUGGUGGAGGCUCGCAGCGGUUCUGACGUGCAAAUCGAUYGUCAAAUUUGCGCAUAGGGGCGAAAGACCAAUCGAACCAUCUAGUAGCUGGUUCUCGUCGAAGUUUCCCUCAGGAUAGCAGCAGCGAAAACAGUCUCAUGAGGUAGAGCGAACGAUUAGAGGCCUGGGGGUUGAAACAACCUUCACCUAUUCUCGAACUCCGAAUAUGUGAGAAGUCCUUGUUACUUAAUUGAA
This 933-nucleotide ribosomal RNA is filed under the name Myriotrema aff. microporum Lumbsch 19174a. RNAcentral's name for it is "eukaryotic LSU rRNA". It matches the Rfam family "Eukaryotic large subunit ribosomal RNA", at positions 143 to 1099 of the family's 3401-position model. Lineage: Eukaryota; Fungi; Ascomycota; Lecanoromycetes; Ostropales; Graphidaceae. The record is from RNAcentral.